This 443-nucleotide ribosomal RNA is filed under the name uncultured bacterium. Its description in RNAcentral is "partial 16S ribosomal RNA". It matches the Rfam family "Bacterial small subunit ribosomal RNA", at positions 28 to 507 of the family's 1533-position model. The record is from RNAcentral.
GAUGAACGCUGGCGGCAUGCCUAACACAUGCAAGUCGAGCGGUAAGGCUCUUCGGAGUACACGAGAGGCGGACGGCUGAGUAACGCGUAGGAACACACCCUGCAGUGAGGGAUAAGACACCGAAAGGUGUUCUAAUACGCAUAACGUUCUUCGAAUUAAAGCAUUUAUGGGCUGAAGCAUUGCCCGGCUUCAUAUUAGAGAGUUGGUGAGGUAAUGGCUAACCAAGUCGAUGAUGUGUAGCUGGCCUGAGAGAAUGAUCAGCCAGACUGGAACUGAGACACGGUCCAGACUCCUACGGGAGGAAGCAGUGAGGAAUAUUUCACAAUGAGCGAAAGCUUGAUGGAGCAAUGCCGCGUGCAGGAUGAAGGCCCUCGGGUUGUAAACUGCUUUUAUAAGAGAAGAUUAUGACGGUAACUUAUGAAUAAGAGACGGCUAACUACGUG